RNAcentral lists this ribosomal RNA (118 nucleotides) under Hyphomicrobium vulgare. The record is from RNAcentral. Lineage: Bacteria; Pseudomonadati; Pseudomonadota; Alphaproteobacteria; Hyphomicrobiales; Hyphomicrobiaceae.
CGACCUGGUGAUUAUGGCGGGGUGGCUGCACCCGAUCCCAUUCCGAACUCGGCCCUGAAACGCCCCAGCGCCAAUGGUACUCUGUCUUAAGACGCGGGAGAGUAGGCCGCCGCCAGGU